AUUUUUAAAAUGAAAAGGUUUUUAUUGUAAAGUUUGAAAACUUUUGUAUGCUGGUGUAAACUGCAAAAUUUCAAAGUUUCAGGGGCUGAAACGCAAACUUUGAAACCACAGUACUGAGACUUCACCACCUUCAUAACUUUGGGUACUAAACUGUAAAUAUCACCGCCGGCCACCUCUGACUUGCCGGAAACGGUGCUAUGGUGGUCGGGAAGCCACCAAACUCUCCAGAACUCAAGUUUAGGCUACCAUAAACUCGUACAAACAAUAAUUUUCACCAAACAAAGCAAGUAUUAGUCAGAUUUUGUAAGAACAAGUUCGCCGCCGGCGAAUUUCUUGAAAACUCCGGCGAGGCUUAACCACAACUCCUCCACCCUCAGUGAUCACAUACGAACGCUCCUCACAACCAUACAAACACAGUGGUAACCUCUGAUUUUGCCCAGAAUCAACAGAAAAGAAUCCCCCAAAUUUCAAUUAAAAAUAUUCAAGAACACUCAAGAACAUUCAAGAACACAUCUCAAGAAUCAAAUCCUUAUUUCUAUAUGUUACGGAAGUCAAAAAUCGACAUAUAAUAUAUGAAAACGAAUGGCAGGAGAUGCUCUACAACAUGGAAUCAUCAAAUCAAUCAAACAAGAUCGUUUGCAAAAAUUCAUAUUUCAAAUCAUUUAAAUUCGAAAUUAAAAAGCUUAUUUAGCAAAAACCUGU
Molecule: long non-coding RNA, 702 nt
Filed under: Daucus carota (carrot)
Lineage: Eukaryota; Viridiplantae; Streptophyta; Magnoliopsida; Apiales; Apiaceae
Description: long non-coding RNA (DCAR_LNC003590)
Source: RNAcentral